RNAcentral lists this ribosomal RNA (465 nucleotides) under uncultured bacterium. RNAcentral describes it as "partial 16S ribosomal RNA". It matches the Rfam family "Bacterial small subunit ribosomal RNA", at positions 28 to 507 of the family's 1533-position model. The record is from RNAcentral.
GACGAACGCUGGCGGCGUGCUUAACACAUGCAAGUCGAACGGAAAGGCCCUGCUUGCAGGGUACUCGAGUGGCGAACGGGUGAGUAACACGUGGGUGAUCUGCCCUGCACUUCGGGAUAAGCCUGGGAAACUGGGUCUAAUACCGGAUAGGAGCCAUUUUUAGUGUGAUGGUUGGAAAGUUUUUUCGGUGUAGGAUGAGCUCGCGGCCUAUCAGCUUGUUGGUGGGGUAAUGGCCUACCAAGGCGGCGACGGGUAGCCGGCCUGAGAGGGUGGACGGCCACAUUGUGACUGAGAUACGGCCCAGACUCCUACGGGAGGCAGCAGUGGGGAAUAUUGCACAAUGGGCGCAAGCCUGAUGCAGCGACGCCGCGUGGGGGAUGACGGCCUUCGGGUUGUAAACUCCUUUCGCUAGGGACGAAGCUUUUUGUGACGGUACCUAGAUAAGAAGCACCGGCUAACUACGUG